This 344-nucleotide long non-coding RNA is filed under the name Anas platyrhynchos platyrhynchos (common mallard). RNAcentral describes it as "lncRNA (ENSAPLG00000030518.1)". Lineage: Eukaryota; Metazoa; Chordata; Aves; Anseriformes; Anatidae. The record is from RNAcentral.
CUCUGGUCUUGUACUGAGCUAUAUCAAUGUUUCAUAAGCAUCUCCUAGUGGGACUUAUACUUGAAACCCGUAGGAAACAUUCCUGAGACUUGAGGUUUUAACUUUAGGUAAUAUAAACUUACAUGGUGCUUUUCUGUAAUACACAGGUGUUCUGUAGGUGGUGGGAUCUGCAUUCUCAAGACUACAGUAUUACUAUUAUACUGUAUUGUCAGAAGCAAAACAUAGAGAUCUUUAAUGAAGAAAUUUGUCUUCUAAGGCUAUGGCACAGUAACACCAGAUGCUGGGGAAGUUGGAGAGGAGCCACCAGCAUCCCUGGAAACCCUCACAGUGCCACUGUAUCAUAA